CUUUCAAAAUCUUUUUAUAAACAAAAAAUUUAGGGGAUAAGAUUGGAGCUGCUAACUCUGAUCGGGGGG
Molecule: transfer RNA, 69 nt
Filed under: Platevindex mortoni
Lineage: Eukaryota; Metazoa; Mollusca; Gastropoda; Systellommatophora; Onchidiidae
Description: tRNA-Ser
Source: RNAcentral